CUGAAACUGCAGCCGUACGUGCAACGCUCCAUGGUCUCUCGCCCGUGCACCAAGCUCGCCCUCAAGUUCUUCGGGCCUUACACUAUGCUGGAGAAGAUUGGACCAUUGGCGUACAAGAUGGAUUUGCCGCCAGACAGCCGCGUGCACCCUGUCUUCCAUGUAUCCCAACUCAAGCUGUUCACGCUAGACUACUCACCGGUGUUCGCCGAUCUUCCCCGCGUCCAAGACCUGUCUGCCACGGUUACCGAGCCCUUCAAGAUUCUGGAGAGGCGCAUGAUGAAGCAUGGAGACGCGCCCGUGGUUCAGCUCAAGAUCCAGUGGUCGCCCACCAAAGUGGCCUACGCUACCUGGGAGGAUUAUGACGUUCUUCGCCGACGGUUUCUGACGGCGGCCAUUUGGGAGGAGGAGGCUUCGUAUUAA
RNAcentral lists this ribosomal RNA (420 nucleotides) under Triticum aestivum (bread wheat). RNAcentral describes it as "partial small subunit ribosomal RNA". Lineage: Eukaryota; Viridiplantae; Streptophyta; Magnoliopsida; Poales; Poaceae. The record is from RNAcentral.